Molecule: ribosomal RNA, 535 nt
Filed under: Enteropneusta sp. BOLD:ADE2357
Lineage: Eukaryota; Metazoa; Hemichordata; Enteropneusta
Description: partial 16S ribosomal RNA
Rfam family: Bacterial large subunit ribosomal RNA
Source: RNAcentral
CGCCCCCUGCUUCUCCAAACAUAGGGGGUACUGCCUGCCCAGUGAACUAUUUUCAACGGCCGCGGUAUCCUGACCGUGCAAAGGUAGCGCAAUCACUAGUUCUCUAAAUAAGGACCUGUAUGAAUGGCAACACGAGGGUCUAACUGUCUCCUCUCUAAUUCACAAAACUUCUCUGGUGGUGCAAAAGCCGCCAUAUAAGCGCCAGACGAGAAGACCCUAUCGAGCUUGAGAACCAAAAAGAACGGACCACACUAAAGUAGGAAAUCUCCUUCUUUCCCCGCUUUCUUUUACGUUUUUUGGUUGGGGCAACCGCGGAGACUACACAACCUCCGCACCAGAAUAUUAAGACUUCACGUCAAGAACGGAAAAGUGAUCCGGUACACCCGAGCAAUGAAAAAAGUUACCGUAGGGAUAACAGCGUAAUCCCUCCUGAGAGCCCACAUUGACGGAGGGGCUUGCGACCUCGAUGUUGGAUCGGGAAACCCUGAUGGUGCAGCCGCUAUCAAAGGUUGGUCUGUUCGACCAUUAAAACCCC